Non-coding RNA from Penaeus vannamei (Pacific white shrimp), 1448 nucleotides. The record is from RefSeq and is a predicted model, not a curated record. Lineage: Eukaryota; Metazoa; Arthropoda; Malacostraca; Decapoda; Penaeidae.
AUUUCUUCUUUAAAUGGUAUCCAACCUUCUUCAUUAAAUUUCCAUUUUUUUUCUUUAACAAUUGUUUCUAUAUUGUGACUAGUAUCUCUUAUUACGACUGGAAGGUAAUCACUUCCUCCAUAUAUAUUUGCUUCUACUUCUAGGUGGCUUAGUUCCGGGGUGCCCAGAACUAGGUCUAUUGUAGAUCCUUUACCUGUUUUUGGGUCAAUUCUAUGAUUUGUUUUUUUUGAGUUAGCAAUAGCCCUUUACUUCCUAAAAUAACAAAUGUAUCCACUUUUAAGUAAAGUGUCCUUUUGGGUAAAAUAUCCUGAUUUGGAAGGUGUUUGCUGAAGACGACUUUUGAGUCCGGUUAUGUUGAUGGUACUGGCAACUCUGCGUCAGCCCUGGUUCUUCCCGAAGCUCAGAAAACUCGGAAACAUGACAGGGUGUGGACGCUAAAUCGUGCACUGACUGCAACAAAAUUUUAAGCCAUCAUGGAUCCUGAACCAGGUUGAUCAGGAAUGACAACAACCAGUUUUUAUAAGGAUGCAAAAGGAUAUAGGCAACUAGAUAUGCAUCAAUAUUUGUGCGUACGUGAUAGAGAAGAUAUUGUUGAAUAUGCUGUGGAUGAGGUGGAUGAUACUUGCUCACCAUAUGAGUCUAAGAAAGAGUUGUCUGCUAAUGGGGUGAAUUUCCUGAUGAUACACUUGUAUUAGAACUUGACUUCAGUCUCCCCACCCCAUUCUCAACCCAAACCCAAGAAGGAAUGUAGAAAAUUCUCAAGGUUGUACUGAGAACAUGUUCAUGGCAUACAAUUCCCACAUAUGAUGCCAGUGGCAGCAGUGAAAAUGAAGAGGGCAUCUCUCAUCCAGCAAAUCUGUUCAAGAGAUGGAUGACCUCUGAUGACCUCUUAGAUAUUGUUGCUCAGCAGUCCAACUUGUAUGCAGUACAACAAAAUAUAAACAAACUAUUAGCUUUAGAGAGGUCAGAUCUUCAGAAAUGCUUUGGAUUGUGAAUGACUAUUUCUGUCUGUAGAAUACCUAAUACAAGAUUGCACUGAUCAAGCUUUUUCUGUGGAAAAAAAACAGUUCAACCAUAUGCAAUGACAGGUGGGAGGAAGUAAAAGUGAAUUAACACCUCACAGAUAAAUCUCAAACAGAUUCUAAAGACAAAUUAACUAAGAUAAGGUUCUUACUCGGACACCUGAGAUCAAAAUUCAAAGAAAUCCCCAUAACAAUAUUUGUGUGUAGAUGAGCAAAUGGUACUUUUCAAGGAGAAUUCAUAUAUUCCUAAGAAACCACAUAAACGUGCAUAUAUGAUUUUUAUUUUGGCAGAUGAUAUGGGAAAGGUGUAUGAUUUCAUGCCAUGUGUUGGUAAAAUAGAGCCUUUAAAUAAUACAAAUGUUAUAGACCUGGAACCAAGUGAUAUUUCAAUGCUCCAUCUUAUGCAGAACAUGUUUUUGUAUACCU